Molecule: ribosomal RNA, 334 nt
Filed under: uncultured eukaryote
Lineage: Eukaryota
Description: partial 18S ribosomal RNA
Rfam family: Eukaryotic small subunit ribosomal RNA
Source: RNAcentral
CCCCUAGACGUUCUGGGCUGCACGCGCGCUACACUGAAGGAAUCAGCGUGGCUUUCUCCCUGACCCGAAAGGGUUGGGAAACCCGUUGAAUCUCCUUCGUGAUAGGGAUUGGGGCUUGAAAUUGUUCCCCAUGAACGAGGAAUUCCCAGUAAGCGCGAGUCAUAAGCUCGCGUUGAUUACGUCCCUGCCCUUUGUACACACCGCCCGUCGCUACUACCGAUUGAACGGUUUAGUGAGGGCCUCGGAUUGGUCUCGGCCCGCUCUUUACCGGGCGGCGCCGUUGGUCGAGAAGACGCUCGAACUUGAUCGUUUAGAGGAAGUAAAAGUCGUAACA